AACACUUUUGAUUGAAUAGACUAGUAAUCUGUGGGUCGCCACGAAAGGAAGAAGGAAAUUUCAUUAAAUCGUAGUAUAUGAUUUGAAACAAACUUUUAAAUUGAAUUUAUUUCUUCUUUAAGAGAUCAUAUGGAUAAAAUGCAAAAAAAAAAAAAUCAACGAGAUAGUAGUAUUCACCUAAUUAUAAUUCCACGUCUGCAACUACGUCACUUUAUUAUACUACUUGCUUUAAAAAUCUACUAGCUAUAUAGUAUAUAAAAGUUAUACCC
Molecule: long non-coding RNA, 269 nt
Filed under: Capsella rubella
Lineage: Eukaryota; Viridiplantae; Streptophyta; Magnoliopsida; Brassicales; Brassicaceae
Description: long non-coding RNA (CRUB_LNC003604)
Source: RNAcentral